UGAGGAAUAUUGGUCAAUGGGCGGGAGCCUGAACCAGCCAUGUCGCGUGCAGGAUGACGGCCCUACGGGUUGUAAACUGCUUUUUUACGGGAAGAAUCGCUUCGACGUGUCGAAGUUUGCCGGUACCGUAGGAAUAGGCAUCGGCUAACUCCGUGCCAGCAGCCGCGGUAAUACGGAGGAUGCGAGCGUUAUCCGGAUUUAUUGGGUUUAAAGGGUGCGUAGGCGGAACUUCAAGUCAGCGGCGAAAGUCUGCAGCUCAACUGUAGUUGUGCCGUUGAAACUGAAUUUCUUGAGUGUAGAUGAGGUAGGCGGAAUGAGUAGUGUAGCGGUGAAAUGCAUAGAUAUUACUCAGAACACCGAUUGCGAAGGCAGCUUACUAAACUACAACUGACGCUGAUGCACGAGAGCGUGGGUAUCAAACAGGAUUAGAUACCCUGGUAGUCCACGCAGUAAACGAUGAUUACUGGUUGUUUGGUCGAGAGAGACAAAGCGACUGCGCGAAAGCAUUAAGUAAUCCACCUGGGGAGUACGUCGGCAACGAUG
This 543-nucleotide ribosomal RNA is filed under the name uncultured bacterium. Its description in RNAcentral is "bacterial SSU rRNA". It matches the Rfam family "Bacterial small subunit ribosomal RNA", at positions 355 to 896 of the family's 1533-position model. The record is from RNAcentral.